AUUAAUAAAAUUAUUGAUUUUAUUUUAUAUAUAAUUUUUAUUUAAAAUAAUUUUAAUUUAGUAUAUAAUUUUGAAAAAUAAAUUUUUAUUAUAGUUUAUUAGUAUUGUAAAAGAAAUUUUUUAAAUAAUAAAAAGAAAAAUUUAAUUUUUGUACCUUGUGUAUCAGGGUUUAUUAAUUAAUAAUUAAUUAUUUAAUUUUCUCGAAUUUAAAAGAGUUAAUUAAUUAUUUAUUUUAAUGUAAAAUAAUUAUUUAUAAUAAUUAAUUAGAAAUGAAAUGUUAUUCGUUUUUAAAUAUAUCUAGUUUUUAAAGAAAAAAAUUAAAUUUUAAUUUUAAUAUAAAAAUAUAAUAUUUUUAUUAUAUUUUUUAUUAAAUUUUAAUUUUAAAAGGGAUAAGCUUUUUAAAAUAUUAUUUAAAAUUAUUUAUUAAAAUUAAUAAUUUAUAGAAUUAUAAAUUUUUAUUUAUAAAAAUUUGUUAUAAUUUAUUAUUAAAUUAAUUUUAUUUAUAUUUAAUUUAAAUAAUUUAUUUAAAUUUUAUUUAAAAUUUUAAAAAAUUAUUAAUAAUGAUAAAAUUAGUAUAUAUUUAUAUUAAAAAAUUUAUUUUUAAAUAGGUAAAAUUAAGGAAUUCGGCAAAAUUUUUAUUCACCUGUUUAAUAAAAACAUGUCCUUUUGAUUAUAAUUUAAGGUCUAAUCUGCCCACUGAUUUUUAAAUGGCCGCAGUAAUUUGACUGUGCUAAGGUAGCAUAAUCAUUAGUUUUUUAAUUGAAAGCUGGAAUGAAUGAUUGGAUGAAAUAAAAGCUGUCUCAAUUUUAUUAAGUUAAAAUUUUAUUUUUAAGUUAAAAAGCUUAAAUAUUUUUAAAAGACGAGAAGACCCUAUAGAGUUUUAUAUAAUUAUAUUAAUUUAAAUUAUUAAUAAAAAAAUUUUAUUAGUAUAAUAAUAUUUUGUUGGGGUGACAAAAAAAUUUAAUUAACUUUUUUUAUUUAUAAAACAUAUAUAAAUGAUUAAUUGAUCCAUUAUUUAUGAUUAUAAGAUUAAAUUACCUUAGGGAUAACAGCGUAAUUUUUUUUGAGAGUUCAAAUCGAAAAAAAAGAUUGCGACCUCGAUGUUGGAUUAAAGUUUAAUUUUGGUGUAGCAGCUAAAAAUUUAAGUCUGUUCGACUUUUAAAACUUUACAUGAUCUGAGUUUAAACCGGUGUAAGCCAGGUUGGUUUCUAUCUUUAAUAAUAAAUAAUAUUUUAGUACGAAAGGACCAAAUAUUAAAUAAAUUAUUUUUUUUUGAAUAUUAAUA
RNAcentral lists this ribosomal RNA (1285 nucleotides) under Cordylepherus sp. YY-2021. RNAcentral describes it as "16S ribosomal RNA". The stretch from base 1045 to 1203 matches the Rfam family "Archaeal large subunit ribosomal RNA", at positions 2542 to 2701 of the family's 2987-position model. Lineage: Eukaryota; Metazoa; Arthropoda; Insecta; Coleoptera; Melyridae. The record is from RNAcentral.